RNAcentral lists this ribosomal RNA (426 nucleotides) under uncultured Rummeliibacillus sp. RNAcentral describes it as "bacterial SSU rRNA". It matches the Rfam family "Bacterial small subunit ribosomal RNA", at positions 356 to 774 of the family's 1533-position model. The record is from RNAcentral. Lineage: Bacteria; Bacillati; Bacillota; Bacilli; Caryophanales; Caryophanaceae.
AGGGAAUCUUCCACAAUGGACGAAAGUCUGAUGGAGCAACGCCGCGUGAGUGAUGAAGGUUUUCGGAUCGUAAAACUCUGUUGUAGGGGAGGAACAGGUACGUAGGCCAAUGAAGGUACCUGAACGGUACCUUAUUGGAAGGCCCCGGCUACCUCCGUCCCAGCAGCCGCGGUAAUACGUAGGUGGCAAGCGUUGUCCGGAAUUAUUGGGCGUAAAGCGCGCGCAGGUGGUUUCUUAAGUCUGAUGUGAAAGCCCACGGCUUAACCGUGGAGGGUCAUUGGAAACUGGGAGACUUGAGUGCAGAAGAGGAAAGUGGAAUUCCAAGUGUAGCGGUGAAAUGCGUAGAGAUUUGGAGGAACACCAGUGGCGAAGGCGACUUUCUGGUCUGCAACUGACGCUGAGGCGCGAAAGCAUGGGGAGCAAACA